RNAcentral lists this ribosomal RNA (399 nucleotides) under uncultured bacterium. Its description in RNAcentral is "bacterial SSU rRNA". It matches the Rfam family "Bacterial small subunit ribosomal RNA", at positions 28 to 422 of the family's 1533-position model. The record is from RNAcentral.
GACGAACGCUGGCGGCGUGCUUAACACAUGCAAGUGGAGCGACGAACCAGGGCUUGCCCUGGGGCAGAGCCGCGAACGGGUGAGUAACACGUGGGUAACGUGCCCCGAUGACUGGGACAACCCGAGGAAACUCGGGCUAAUACCGGAUAUGCCCCCUCACGAGAGUGAGGUGUGUAAAGGAAGCUUCGGCCUCCGCAUCGGGAUCGGCCCGCGGCGCAUUAGCUUGUUGGUGGGGUAACGGCCACCAAGGCGACGAUGCGUAGCUGGUCUGAGAGGACGAUCAGCCACACUGGGACUGAGACACGGCCCAGACUCCUACGGGAGGCAGCAGUGGGGAAUCUUGCGCAAUGCGCGAAAGCGUGACGCAGCAACGCCGCGUGGGGGAAGACGGCCUCGGUG